AAUUAACGCUGGCGGCGUGCCUAACACAUGCAAGUCGAACGCGAAAGCCCGCAAGGGUAAGUAGAGUGGCGCACGGGUGAGUAACACGUGGACAACCUGCCUUCGAGUGGGGAAUAACCUUCCGAAAGGAGGGCUAAUACCGCAUAAAACCCCGGAACACAAGUUCAGGGGUUGAAAAGAGCAAUUUGCUCGAAGAGGGGUCCGCGCCUGAUUAGCUAGUUGGUGAGGUAACGGCUCACCAAGGCUCGAUCAGUAGCCGUCCUGAGAGGGAGCACGGCCACACUGGAACUGAGACACGGUCCAGACUCCUACGGGAGGCAGCAGUGGGGAAUUUUUGGCAAUGGGCGAAAGCCUGACCAAGCAACGCCGCGUGGGUGAUGAAGUAUCUU
RNAcentral lists this ribosomal RNA (389 nucleotides) under uncultured bacterium. Its description in RNAcentral is "bacterial SSU rRNA". It matches the Rfam family "Bacterial small subunit ribosomal RNA", at positions 29 to 419 of the family's 1533-position model. The record is from RNAcentral.